UUCCCCGCCUUGAUGUGGAAGGACGUAGACACCUCGAGAGACCGGAAGCCGGUGGUUUUCUGCUGACAUGAGAAUGUGGGGUGCGUGUUACCCUCCCACCGUGGGGCACGCUGACUUACUUUUGCCCACAUAGGUCAGUUGUUCGAAGUAAGCAUUCGUGUUCAUAGUCUGCUGUGGCCAGAUAAUAGAGAAACGAGCCGUACACGGACCUCAGACCUGGUGAUUUUUCAACUUGUGCUCUGUGAGAAGAUGCUUCAGAAGGAAACACACAAGUCCUUGUCCCUGUGGAGUCUAUGCUGGUGGCGGGAGGAGGGCAGACACAGCAGACGUGGAUGUUCAUGGCGAUGUGGAGAAAACAAAGUGGGAGGGGGCGUGGGUUCACCGAGGGAAAAGGCCGUUCUCAGCACAGGAUGGCCUGGGAAGACCUCACCCAGCAAGCAGCAGCGGCCUGUGCUCCAGAGCAGAGAGAGGAGUCAGAGAGCCGUGAGGAGCGUCCCUGGCCAGGGCGCAGCAGGUGCAAAGGCCCUGAGGUGCGUCGGUGUUAACGUCCAGGAGAUCAGCGUGGCUGGAGCAGAGCGAGCGGCGGAGUGGUAGGAGUGAAGAUGCUCUGUUUUCAAUCAAAAACAAGAUCAUCCUAAAUGUCACCACUCAACACCCAUCUGGACUCCUGAAAGCAAGCUGCCUUGUUUCUGAAUCAGAUGUCAUCACCCACUGAAAAGCCUCCCGCCUCCAAGCUGGGCCGGGUGGGAACGCCUCAUCCAUCUCUCCCAGCGAGGCUGGGUUACAGGUGACCAUUUCCUGCUGAAGAAAGGGGAUGGAGCAGAAACAGGUGGCAACUGAGAGCCAGGUUAUCACAGCUUCUUUGACCCUUUGGAGCCCAACAAUUACAGAAAUACUUGUUGUUC
Molecule: long non-coding RNA, 905 nt
Organism: Cervus elaphus (red deer)
Lineage: Eukaryota; Metazoa; Chordata; Mammalia; Artiodactyla; Cervidae
Exons: 2
Source: RefSeq, a predicted model, not a curated record